Molecule: long non-coding RNA, 963 nt
Organism: Centrocercus urophasianus (Greater sage-grouse)
Lineage: Eukaryota; Metazoa; Chordata; Aves; Galliformes; Phasianidae
Exons: 4
Source: RefSeq, a predicted model, not a curated record
UUGAUUUCUUCUUUACUGCUGGAUUGUAAUUUCAUUUUCUGGGGGGCGCCUGACCACAUUUAAGGUCUGUCAGCAGAAGGAGCAGCAACUGCACCUGGAGACUGCUUCCUUUAGAAUGUGGGGUGAACCCUUGAAACUGGGUGAGUGAGUCUUUAUUCCAGGGUUGCAAUAUCUUGUUGUUGGGGGGAUCCUGACCCCACUUAAGGGCUGGCGGCCUUUAAGGUGGUAUCUGUCUUUAGAGACUAUCUCCUUGGGAGUAUGGGGUGAGGUCUGGUCCUUGAGAAAGGAUGAGUGAUUCCUUCUUGUUUUAGGGCUGUGACCUUUCCUGUUUUUGGGGCACCAUGACCACAUUGAAGUGCUGGUAGAUGUAAGGGCAAUGUUGAUCUCUGGAGACUGUCUCAUAUGGAGCAGGGUAUCCUGACCACAUUUAAGGGGUGGAAGCCAUAAGGGCAGCAUCUCUACCUGGACACUGCUUCCUUGGCAGUGUGGGCUGAGUGUUCAUCUUUGGAAUGGGAAAGCCAAAGAUUGUCCUCUUCUGGGCUGCUGUACUCAGCAUCACCCCAGCGUGAUGAAGUGAAGACCCUGGUCUGCUGAAUACUGGGACUGGCCCAGAGAGGCUCUGAUGGAUGUGGAUUAUCCCAGCCGGCGUACUUGGUACCAUUGGUGGUGAUCUCGUCCAACUGCCACAAAACGAACAGGAACAUCCACAGCCAGAUCAGGCUGCCCAGAGCCUGAACCAGCCUCACCUUGGAAGGGACAGGGCAUCCAUCAUGUCUGGGUGUUGAAAGGCUGUUACCAGAUCACCUCGGAGCCUUCACUUCUGCAGGCUGAACAGCUCCAGCUCUCUCUCUUUAUAGGAAAGGCGUUCCAUCCCUCAGUUCAUAUCUGUGGCUGUUUUCUGGAUGUGCUCCAACAGCUCCAUGUCUGUCCUGCGCUGCGGACAUUCACAUCCAGAUGCAGCAC